CGGGCUAAUACCGGAUAACACAUGAAACCGCAUGGUUUCAUUAUGAAAGACGGUUUUGCUGUCACUUAUAGAUGGACCCGCGGCGUAUUAGCUAGUUGGUAAGGUAACGGCUUACCAAGGCAACGAUACGUAGCCGACCUGAGAGGGUGAUCGGCCACACUGGAACUGAGACACGGUCCAG
This 181-nucleotide ribosomal RNA is filed under the name uncultured Staphylococcus sp. Its description in RNAcentral is "partial 16S ribosomal RNA". It matches the Rfam family "Bacterial small subunit ribosomal RNA", at positions 159 to 334 of the family's 1533-position model. The record is from RNAcentral. Lineage: Bacteria; Bacillati; Bacillota; Bacilli; Caryophanales; Staphylococcaceae.